AACGCGAAGAACCUUACCAAGGUUUGACAUGGCCGGAAAAGCAUCAGAGAUGGUGUGUCCUUCGGGGCCGGUCACAGGUGGUGCAUGGCUGUCGUCAGCUCGUGUCGUGAGAUGUUGGGUUAAGUCCCGCAACGAGCGCAACCCUCGUCCUAUGUUGCCAGCGGGUCAUGCCGGGGACUCAUGGGAGACUGCCGGGGUCAACUCGGAGGAAGGUGGGGAUGACGUCAAGUCAUCAUGCCCCUUAUGUCUUGGGCUGCAAACAUGCUACAAUGGCCGGUACAGAGGGCUGCGAGACCGUGAGGUUAAGCGAAUCCCGGAAAGCCGGUCUCAGUUCGGAUCGGGGUCUGCAACUCGGCCCCGUGAAGCUGGAGUCGCUAGUAAUCGCGGAUCAGCAACGCCGCGGUGAAUACGUUCCCGGGCCUUGUA
Molecule: ribosomal RNA, 426 nt
Filed under: uncultured Actinomycetes bacterium
Lineage: Bacteria; Bacillati; Actinomycetota; Actinomycetes
Description: bacterial SSU rRNA
Rfam family: Bacterial small subunit ribosomal RNA
Source: RNAcentral